CCUCUCAUGGCAGAUAGUACCCAUGAUGUGCAGAGGCCCCAAAGAGAAGGUGUCUCACUCAAGGACAGUGGACCAGUGGUGGCUACGCCAAGCCUGGCGCCUGGGCCUCUGAUCAGAAAGAGCAACAGUGGCCUGGGUUUCCGAGACCCUUGUUACCUUCUUGAAAAAACUGAUUCCGGAGUCCCUGGGUAGCCCUCCAGGGUGAGGAGAUGGCUUGCUACUUGGAUCCUCGUACAUCUGUUGGGGAUAUGCAGCAUCCAGGUCUGCUAUAGAGUAAGCUGUAGGCAGCACUGCAACUGAACUCGUCUUUCUGGAAGAAAAUGAGCUCUAAAGCCUCCCUACUCAAAGUGUGGUCCUCAAGACAGAAGUAUUGGCCCUCCUGGGAGCUGGUCAGGAAUUCAGCCUCUCAGGCCCCCGAACCUACAGAACCCGAAUCUGCAGUUCAACAGAAGCCCCCGGUGAGCCCUGGGGCCCAUCCCAGUCAGGGAGCCAGCAGGUCUUCAGCCACUGCACGGAAGUGGGCGAACAAGACACAGGAGGUGCCUGUGUCCACUGAGGCUGCCCUGGGCAGCAUGAACUCUAGGAUUGCUGGGGGGGAGCGGGGCAAGCUCAUGCCUCAAGGAGACCCUGCCCCUGCCAUCAGCAGGCCAUCUGCAGCCCUCUUGUAGCCACAGAGGAGCAGGCCGAGAGUGCCAAGGGGACGAAGGACAGAGGCUCAUCGGAGCCUGAGUCUGCCCAGGGGAGUCGGGUGCUGCACUGGGACUGAG
This 767-nucleotide long non-coding RNA is filed under the name Marmota monax (woodchuck). The record is from RNAcentral. Lineage: Eukaryota; Metazoa; Chordata; Mammalia; Rodentia; Sciuridae.